This 532-nucleotide ribosomal RNA is filed under the name uncultured bacterium. Its description in RNAcentral is "bacterial SSU rRNA". It matches the Rfam family "Bacterial small subunit ribosomal RNA", at positions 33 to 541 of the family's 1533-position model. The record is from RNAcentral.
GGCUAACGCUGGCGGCGUGUCUUAGCCAUGCAAGUCGAGCGGACUUAUGGGGUAACUUAUAAGUCAGCGGCGGACGGCGGAGUAACACGUAGCUAACCUACCCUCUGGACGGGGGAUAACCUACCGAAAGGUGGGCUAAUACCCGAUGUAGUCAUCCUGUAUAGGGGUGAUGAAAGGUGGGCUUCUGUUUACAAGCUCAUGCUGGAGGAGGGGGCUGCGGCCUAUCAGGUAGUUGGUAGGGUAAUAGCCUACCAAGCCGAUGACGGGUAGCCGGCCUGAGAGGGUGACCGGCCCGAGGGGCACUGAGAUACGGGUCCCACUCCUACGGGAGGCAGCAGGCUAGAAAUUUGGGCAAUGGGGGAAACCCUGACCCAGUGACGCCGCGUGCAGGAAGGAGCCCUUCGGGGUGUAAACUGCCUGUCGUGUAGGGAGAAGGGUACUAAGGUGAACAAUCUUAGUACUUGACGGUACUACAGGAGGAAGCCCAGGCUAACUCGUGCCAGCAGCCGCGGUAAAGCUAACGUAAACGUAG